AAGUCGUAACAAGGUAACCGUAGGUGAACCUGCGGUUGGAUCAUUAAAAAUGAAUAAAGAGUUUGACCAAAAAUUAGGCUCUUUUUUACAUUUGUGAACUGUUUAUUGUCUCUUGCCCAUUUUUAUUAAUGGGCAGCAACCUUUUGAUUGUAAAAUCAGAAAGUGUAAACCUAGUAUUGAAAAUUGACUUUGUUGAAUUAAUUAAAUUUAAAACAACUUUUGACAACGGAUCUCUAGGCUCUC
Molecule: unclassified non-coding RNA, 243 nt
Filed under: fungal sp.
Lineage: Eukaryota; Fungi
Description: partial internal transcribed spacer region
Rfam family: Eukaryotic small subunit ribosomal RNA (bases 1-46)
Source: RNAcentral